This 21-nucleotide small nuclear RNA is filed under the name Arabidopsis thaliana (thale cress). RNAcentral's name for it is "snRNA_13455". The record is from RNAcentral. Lineage: Eukaryota; Viridiplantae; Streptophyta; Magnoliopsida; Brassicales; Brassicaceae.
UCAAGACACGCUUGUUCUUGA